GUUGGAUUAAAAACAGUCUACUUGUGUGUUCCGAUUAUGUUAAUCAUUAGUGACUGGCAGGGCAGCCUGCACAGCUUGUGCCUUUGGGAUGUGAAAGCUCACUGCUCUGUGUGUCUGACUCUCUGCAUGCGAACGCACCGACUCGACUCCCAUAAUUCAACAGGCAACAAAGGAAGAAAGAAACAGGCCGCGAGCUACAAAAGGGUUAGCCCACCUUGGCUAGAAGAUAUCACGUUAGUGUGUUUAUCCGCCCGUCGCUUCACUUCUGAUGCUGCUGGUCCACAUUGUGCAUGACUUUUUUCAUGUGGGCUGAUGGGAGGACACCGUGGAUAGAACUGUCGUCAGGAUACCUGGAGAGCCACCCCAUGCCCCC
Molecule: long non-coding RNA, 373 nt
Filed under: Oryzias sinensis (Chinese medaka)
Lineage: Eukaryota; Metazoa; Chordata; Actinopteri; Beloniformes; Adrianichthyidae
Description: lncRNA (ENSOSIG00000017097.1)
Source: RNAcentral